UGUCAACGUAAAAACUAAAUUUUGUUAUUAUAGAAUCAAUUGGAUGUUUUUUUUUUGCUUUGUCGGAGAGAUUAUAGGUGGAAAAAGAUAUUUUUGGCAUGCAAAUAAUACCAGACUAUUGCAUUUUGCCGGUCGUAUUAGUUGGUAACUGACCUUAUUCUACUUAAGAAAAAGCUACUUCUACCGAAAUUCAACUAAAAAAGAACCAUGGAGAAAACAAUUGUUUAUGCAGAGCUAGGGGUGAAAUUGGAACUGGCAUUCUUUUAUGAAGAAGCGCUAAUUAAUUUUAAUUUGGAGUCAACAGGAGAAUGAAAAUCAUAUCACCAUUUGAAAUUUGGUACAAAAUCAUCAACAAUGAGGAAAAUAGGUAUGGAUAUUUUUUAUUUUCGAAACGCUGGAAAUCAGUUUGAAUGCUGCUAUAACAUAAGAGAUAGGUCGAAAAAUGUAAAGAAGCAGUGAUUCGUUAAUUGCUAUUGCCACUAAGACUUACUUAGAGUAAUGUGCUAGCCAGAAUUUGCUGGCUAGCAGUGCUAGUGCGAUACGCUCGACGCAUGAGAGACGCGUGUCUAUGUGAAAGAAGCAUUCUAUAUGAAGCACUAUGUACGCUCGUAUUUCAAUUUAUUUUAUCCGCUGUACUUCUGUUAUGUUCAUGAUUUUUUUUAAAUGAUUUUACUUUCAAUUCCAAGAUUUAUUUUUAUUGCUGUUUUCAUU
Contarinia nasturtii (swede midge) is the source of this 711-nucleotide long non-coding RNA. RefSeq lists it as uncharacterized. The transcript has 3 exons. NCBI's taxonomy places the organism in Eukaryota, Metazoa, Arthropoda, Insecta, Diptera, Cecidomyiidae. The record is from RefSeq and is a predicted model, not a curated record.